RNAcentral lists this transfer RNA (72 nucleotides) under Acanthoscelides obtectus. It matches the Rfam family "tRNA". From Rfam's summary of the family: Transfer RNA (tRNA) molecules are approximately 80 nucleotides in length. The record is from Rfam by way of RNAcentral. Lineage: Eukaryota; Metazoa; Arthropoda; Insecta; Coleoptera; Chrysomelidae.
GCCUCUGUAGCUCAGUGACAGAGCACUGGUCUUGUAAAUCAGGGUUCGUGAGUUCAAUCCUCACAGGAGGCA